CGUACUCGCGCGUGUGUAUGUAUGUAUGUAUGCGCGUGCGUCUGUGUAUUUUGAAUUUAAAAUGUUAUAACUCGGAAGGAUCUGGAUCACAGGUCAUUUCAUUUGAGAUCAAUCCGCACGCAACAGCUGGAAUCACUUACUGAUUCACACAAGGAAGGACACAAUCAGCCGUUUCCUCAAGUUCACGUCAGAGCGGAGAUGAUGUGAGAGAGGCAGACCAGAAGGAUACAGAGACAGUCUCCGCUUGGACUGGCUGAGGAAAGUCUCCUAAAUGGCCCUGGAGAUGUUCUGACUGACUUUGGAGGCUUUUUGGACUGUUUUAUGCCCUCUAUUUAAAGAAGACUUAAUUCUGUAUGUUCAGUCUGUAUGAUAAGUGAAUAAGUGAAUAAAAAGCUUUUGUUUUUAUGUGACUGAAGUUAAUUAUUUUGUUUACAACACCAGCAUAAAUUAUUCGGUAAAUCAUUUAAAAAUGUUAUAAAAAAAUUCCAAAUAAUAAAUAUUAAUUGAAGUAACACAUAAAA
This is a non-coding RNA of Misgurnus anguillicaudatus (oriental weatherfish), 521 nucleotides long. Lineage: Eukaryota; Metazoa; Chordata; Actinopteri; Cypriniformes; Cobitidae. The record is from RefSeq and is a predicted model, not a curated record.